AAGGAGGCCGGUUGUUAAUUUCUACGGAUUUUUUCACGGUAUUUAUUAUCCACUAAACUCAAAGUCCUGAAAAUAUGAUGAACAAACGAAGCAAAUAUAGGACGAUACCGAUCAAACUAGACCGUAUAAUCUCGCCGAGAUCAACUUUUGACGUGUUCGGCGCUUGAGUUACGGAGCGGCGCGCGCAGCCGGUCUCCCCCUGCCGCCAUCAUUGCCGUCGCGUCGGUCGCCAGUUGCAGCUGACCGAUGGGAGCGUUCGGAGUGUCGUUCGCGUGUCGCGUCUCGCAGAUUCCGCGCUCGUGCGUGUCCCCACGCGUACGUACGUACGUCGUGCGUCGUGUCUCGGUACGCGCUUGUCAUCGGCACGCGUCGCCGCCAGUGAGUCGUCGCCGCGAGUGAUUCGAUCGCUCGUAGAACCGGCGUGAGUGAACGAUCCUCGCGCAUCCUGCUCCUCGUUGCGAAACGGUGAAAGGCGCGGGACGAAGAAGAGAUCCCGGGACCGCCGACGACGGAUUCCGGACGGGUCACAGAUACUGCCACCACGGUCAAUAUAGGACACGGGGUGACUGUCGACCAAGGCGUCGUCGAUCAGCAGCGGCGAGGUGCAGUCUCCGUUCGAGAUUAAACGGCUUGGUUGAAAAGCUCCGGGAGGCCAACGCCGACUGUGGCUGUGCUGGAGCCCCAGGGCGUUCACUCAGAUGUUACGCCUUAAUUUGUUCGACCGGUCGGCGUCCGAAACCGUCGGUUUCUGGAGCGAAGACAACGCGGCACGGUGUUUGGACGCGGAAGAAGUAUGCUAAUAAUAUUACAACCUAAUUCGUAGCAAGCGACCUGAUGAAGCGUAAGUAGGAUGAAUUAUACAAGAGCGCAUUUCGCGAGAUUACAGUGUCGUUACGAUGUUAUUAGCUGCGCGUAUCGUUAACCCUCGCGCACGCUCAUUCCGCCGAUGUUUCGGCCAUUUGCAACUUUCAAGUGGCGGUGUUACGAGCACAGGCAAGACGGCAAGUACGCGAUUUACGAUUACGGUAAAAUUAUACUUUGUUCGGGCUAAUCAAAAGCGAACGCGAUCGACUGCGACGAGGGUCUCGCGUGUAAUUCCUCGGACGAUUUCUCAUGACAUGUGCGACAUCUCGAGCAGGAGAAGUAAAGUUUCACCGCGAGUCCCUCCUCUCCUCCCCUCCGCCGUUACAUCGAAAUGUUAUCUCGAGUCUUGGAGAUCUGGAGGGGGAGGAGGAAAAAAUAAAUAAACCGAGUCGGAGAGUUUUCUCGCCGGGGCGCGGGCGGAGGCGGCUCCGCAUUAAAAUGUAUAGCUCGCCGUCGAAUGUUAAUUCAAAUGAAUCGACGCUCGCAGAUGGAAUUUUCGACGACAAAGGGUAGAACCGAGGGAGAUCCUCGGAGUUUACGCCCUCUCGACACCGGUCGGCGCGAUUGAAUUUUCUUAUCGGCGAGCUCGCGGACGGUACAUUGGCCUUUAGCGGAUACCGACACUAUUUUGGCGCACGAGACGGCUCCCGGAAGCGUAGGAGAGUUAGACGGAACGAAAGAGACGAGAGAAAAAAGAGCGGGAGGGUGAGACGGACGCCUUGAACGGCACAGAGAGGUGGGUUUAAGCGAAAUUGCUUUGGGUCUGGGAGCCUUUCGAAUGUCGC
RNAcentral lists this long non-coding RNA (1649 nucleotides) under Harpegnathos saltator (Jerdon's jumping ant). RNAcentral's name for it is "uncharacterized LOC112589303, transcript variant X1". Lineage: Eukaryota; Metazoa; Arthropoda; Insecta; Hymenoptera; Formicidae. The record is from RNAcentral.